Molecule: long non-coding RNA, 1152 nt
Filed under: Equus caballus (horse)
Lineage: Eukaryota; Metazoa; Chordata; Mammalia; Perissodactyla; Equidae
Description: lncRNA (ENSECAG00000057121.1)
Source: RNAcentral
CGAGGGCUGCGGGCCGUCCCGCCGCGAGCUCCGUCGCCUCCGAGUCCGAGUCACUUAUCCCGGCCCAACAUGGCGGCGGGGUCUGGGGCGGCUUCCCGAGGCGGCGCCGGCUGAGGGGGCGUGAGGAGGAGGCGCUUCUCCCCGCAGAGAGCAGGCCCGCGGCGCCCCUCCGCACGCGCGGACCCUGGGCCGCUGACUCGGCUGCCGCGGAGGUGGAGUCGGGGUCGCGGAUGUCGCCCUCGCUCUGUCCCGCCGAGGGCUCGGGGCUUUGUCUUUGGGGGGAGAGGACAGGGUUGAGUGUUUUGGGUUGGCUGAGUGCGUCUCAGGACCAUGCUGGCGCACCCUUUGUCGUCGAUGGUGAAAUCUUAGCCCAGCCGCGAGAGCCGGGGGGCGUUCCUAACGCCCUCCUCACCGUCCGGAUCGCCGUCCCCACUCUCGCGUCUGGCCUCCUUCCGAGUCAGGGAUCCUGUCCCAGCCCGAGGAGCUUCCUGUUGACUAAAAUGAAACUAAAGCCCAGAGGAAGUAAGUAGGUUGGCCAAGGCCUCCCAGGUGAUAGGCUCUCUCCACAGGACGAGAAAGGGGAUCACCAGAAGCUUCAGUUGCACUUUCAGCUUAACAACCCCAGGGACAGAUCCUGACGUGCCUCAUGCAGACUCCUUCCCAUCAGUGUGUGCAGGUGCAAAGGACUGAGGCUGAAAGAACACCUGUCUUCUGGGACAGCAAGAAAGAAAAAACAAAAGAGAGAAAGGACAACAGUGGAAACUCCUGUUGACUCUUGACGCUUUGGUCUGAAAUUGGAGUAAUUUACGUCUAUCAUGUUUCUUUGGCUCCCAUAAGUCAUGUGGCUGAGUCAGGCAUCACUGAGGUGGGGAGAUAUUAUCCUCCCAGAGUGAGGGGCAGCAAAUAUUUUGAACAGACAAUACAAUAUAGCAUAACUUCCUUUAUGGAAAGGGAAAUCUCUAUCACUGAAUUGAAAUUUUGUUGGUUUGAUAAAUCUUUUCAAAACUCUGCAAGUUUUCUCAGGGUAGGAAAGCAGAACUUAUACUAAGGGCCUACAAUAUGGCAAUUGCUUUAAAUAUACUGUGUUAUAUAAUUAUACUGAUUAUAUAAGGUGUAUAUUAUUAUAACCAUUUUACCGAUAUAGUAACUGAG